This is a long non-coding RNA of Myotis davidii, 694 nucleotides long. RefSeq lists it as uncharacterized. The transcript is spliced from 2 exons. The record is from RefSeq and is a predicted model, not a curated record. Lineage: Eukaryota; Metazoa; Chordata; Mammalia; Chiroptera; Vespertilionidae.
AGCCACCCCGGGAGUCCCAGGUCCCUGUGGGGCUCCUGUCCUCAGUUUGACAGCCCCGCCCAUGCCACAUGGCCCAGGCAGCUGGGACAGCUGUGAUGCAGGCAGUGGCUGAAAAGGGCUCUGAGCAGAGAGGGGCACUGCCCCGCCCUCAAAGGUGGGCUGCCAGAUCCAGAGAACUUGUGGGGGGCAGGGGGUACACUAGUCCGGCCGCGAUGAGGUUCAGCCUCUCCUGUGGCCGCCCAGGUGUCACCCACACCCUUCUCUGUGAGAAGCUCAGAAAGGGGGUGGGUGCUCCCAGGGAGCCUCCAGUGAACAGAGCAUCUCGUGAACAGGUGGUGCAGAAGGAGCCCCAAAUGGUUUGUCCGGGCCCCAGGGCAGCAGGAUGAUGGGCCCCAGGCUGUGGGGUUUGCCCAGGGGACUUGGGGAGGGCUUCCAGCAGCUGUCCCAGGGCCCCAAUAAGCAGUGUGUGGGGAGGGGCCUCAGGAUUUCCUCUGGCUGCCACCUCCCUGCAGCCAGGCCCCUGACCCACAAGCACAGCAGACGAGUCGUGGGAUGGAACAGCCCUCCCAGCCAGCCCACUCGGGGUCCCACAGGGAGAGACACCUGGGAGAUGUAGUCGGAGUGUUGGGCGGCCAAGGCUGCCAGGCCUGGAAAGGAGGACACAGGUUUGCUGAAUAAAGACUCCCACUCCUGG